GUUGUAUGGUUAAGUGACUAAGCGUACACGGUGGAUGCCUGGGCAGUCAGAGGCGAUGAAGGACGUACUAACUUGCGAUAAGCGCAGAUAAGGCAGUAAGAGCCGUUUGAGUCUGCGAUUUCCGAAUGGGGAAACCCAACUGCAUAAGCAGUUACUGUUAACUGAAUACAUAGGUUAACAGAGCAAACCGGGGGAACUGAAACAUCUAAGUACCCCGAGGAGAAGAAAUCAACCGAGAUUCCGGUAGUAGCGGCGAGCGAACCUGGAUUAGCCCUUAAGCACUCGGUGAAGUAGGUGAACAAGCUGGAAAGCUUGGCGAUACAGGGUGAUAGCCCCGUAACCGACGCUUCAUCGAGCGUGAAAUCGAGUAGGGCGGGACACGUGAUAUCCUGUCUGAAUAUGGGGGGACCAUCCUCCAAGGCUAAAUACUCCUGACUGACCGAUAGUGAACCAGUACCGUGAGGGAAAGGCGAAAAGAACCCCUGUGAGGGGAGUGAAAUAGAACCUGAAACCGUGUACGUACAAGCAGUAGGAGCACCUUCGUGGUGUGACUGCGUACCUUUUGUAUAAUGGGUCAGCGACUUAUAUUCAGUGGCAAGGUUAACCGUAUAGGGGAGCCGUAGCGAAAGCGAGUCUUAACUGGGCGCUCAGUCUCUGGAUAUAGACCCGAAACCGGGUGAUCUAGCCAUGGGCAGGUUGAAGGUUGAGUAACAUCAACUGGAGGACCGAACCGACUAAUGUUGAAAAAUUAGCGGAUGACUUGUGGCUAGGGGUGAAAGGCCAAUCAAACUCGGAGAUAGCUGGUUCUCCCCGAAAGCUAUUUAGGUAGCGCCUCGGACGAAUACUACUGGGGGUAGAGCACUGUUAAGGCUAGGGGGUCAUCCCGACUUACCAACCCUUUGCAAACUCCGAAUACCAGUAAGUACUAUCCGGGAGACACACGGCGGGUGCUAACGUCCGUCGUGGAGAGGGAAACAACCCAGACCGCCAGCUAAGGUCCCAAAGUAUUGCUAAGUGGGAAACGAUGUGGGAAGGCUCAGACAGCUAGGAUGUUGGCUUAGAAGCAGCCAUCAUUUAAAGAAAGCGUAAUAGCUCACUAGUCGAGUCGGCCUGCGCGGAAGAUGUAACGGGGCUAAGCAAUACACCGAAGCUGCGGCAAUGUCUUUUAGACAUUGGGUAGGGGAGCGUUCUGUAAGCCGUUGAAGGUGAAUCGUAAGGUUUGCUGGAGGUAUCAGAAGUGCGAAUGCUGACAUGAGUAACGACAAAGGGGGUGAAAAACCUCCUCGCCGGAAGACCAAGGGUUCCUGUCCAACGUUAAUCGGGGCAGGGUGAGUCGACCCCUAAGGUGAGGCCGAAAGGCGUAAUCGAUGGGAAACGGGUUAAUAUUCCCGUACUUCUGACUAUUGCGAUGGGGGGACGGAGAAGGCUAGGUGGGCCAGGCGACGGUUGUCCUGGUUCAAGUGCGUAGGCUUGAGAGUUAGGUAAAUCCGGCUCUCUCUAAGGCUGAGACACGACGUCGAGCUACUACGGUAGUGAAGUCAUUGAUGCCAUGCUUCCAGGAAAAGCCUCUAAGCUUCAGAUAGUCAGGAAUCGUACCCCAAACCGACACAGGUGGUCGGGUAGAGAAUACCAAGGCGCUUGAGAGAACUCGGGUGAAGGAACUAGGCAAAAUGGUACCGUAACUUCGGGAGAAGGUACGCUCUUGAUGGUGAAGUCCCUCGCGGAUGGAGCUGACGAGAGUCGCAGAUACCAGGUGGCUGCAACUGUUUAUUAAAAACACAGCACUGUGCAAAAUCGCAAGAUGACGUAUACGGUGUGACGCCUGCCCGGUGCCGGAAGGUUAAUUGAUGGGGUUAGCGCAAGCGAAGCUCUUGAUCGAAGCCCCGGUAAACGGCGGCCGUAACUAUAACGGUCCUAAGGUAGCGAAAUUCCUUGUCGGGUAAGUUCCGACCUGCACGAAUGGCGUAAUGAUGGCCACGCUGUCUCCACCCGAGACUCAGUGAAAUUGAAAUCGCUGUGAAGAUGCAGUGUACCCGCGGCUAGACGGAAAGACCCCGUGAACCUUUACUACAGCUUGGCACUGAACAUUGAACCUACAUGUGUAGGAUAGGUGGGAGGCUAUGAAGACGUGACGCCAGUUGCGUUGGAGCCGUCCUUGAAAUACCACCCUUGUAUGUUUGAUGUUCUAACUUAGACCCAUUAUCUGGGUUGAGGACAGUGCCUGGUGGGUAGUUUGACUGGGGCGGUCUCCUCCCAAAGAGUAACGGAGGAGCACGAAGGUGGGCUAAUCACGGUUGGACAUCGUGAGGUUAGUGCAAUGGCAUAAGCCCGCUUAACUGCGAGAAUGACGGUUCGAGCAGGUGCGAAAGCAGGUCAUAGUGAUCCGGUGGUUCUGUAUGGAAGGGCCAUCGCUCAACGGAUAAAAGGUACUCCGGGGAUAACAGGCUGAUACCGCCCAAGAGUUCAUAUCGACGGCGGUGUUUGGCACCUCGAUGUCGGCUCAUCACAUCCUGGGGCUGAAGUCGGUCCCAAGGGUAUGGCUGUUCGCCAUUUAAAGUGGUACGCGAGCUGGGUUUAGAACGUCGUGAGACAGUUCGGUCCCUAUCUGCCGUGGGCGUUGGAAGAUUGAAGGGGGCUGCUCCUAGUACGAGAGGACCGGAGUGGACGAACCUCUGGUGUUCGGGUUGUGUCGCCAGACGCAUUGCCCGGUAGCUAAGUUCGGAAUUGAUAAGCGCUGAAAGCAUCUAAGCGCGAAGCGAGCCCUGAGAUGAGUCUUCCCUGAC
This 2783-nucleotide ribosomal RNA is filed under the name Vibrio cholerae. RNAcentral describes it as "bacterial LSU rRNA". It matches the Rfam family "Bacterial large subunit ribosomal RNA". The record is from RNAcentral. Lineage: Bacteria; Pseudomonadati; Pseudomonadota; Gammaproteobacteria; Vibrionales; Vibrionaceae.